AGUUAUUUCCUCGAAAGUAACAACAAAAAUCAGAACAGUAAUUUCUUUUUCCCAGUGCUUAUCUGGAAACUUUCAGUGUCUAUUGUUUGAUAGACUGGCCAGACUGGUAUUCCAGACUCUUUGCUACUGAAGCUCAGAAUCUGAUUUGUAAGUCACUGCCAACUUUCAGACAUUUUCUACUUCUGAGAAAAUUCUUAGGCUGUGAUGUUUCAUACUUACAUUAUCAAAUGCUGUUUUGAGCUAACAGCACUUUGUGGCAGAAACAUGUUUCUUCCAUUACCAGGGCAUCAGCAGCUCUAAUGACAACAAACCAAUUUCUAUCCCAUUGUGAAUAAUGUUUUGGCUUUGCAUUGGACAUCAUUACAGAUGAAAGGAAAAUGGCUGAAAAGAAACCUUCAGAGACCUGGUCAGGAAAAUUGUUUGGGAAGAAAAAAAAUGAAUCGUGAUCCUGGAAAGAGACCCUGAACACAUACAAAAGACCAUAUGGUAAUGAUCAAAGUUGAGGGAAAACAAAAAGCUGCCUUCCACCUGCAAAAGAGAAUUGUCUGAAGAUAGUGAAAUGGGAAUGCUUUGAAGAUAAGCCAUCACGCAGUGUGGGAAAAGGAGGCAAGAAGUGAAACCUGGUAUUGAGACAAUUUCCUAAGGUGUAUUUUGUGAUAGGUGAGUGGCAGAGCCAGGUGCUGAUUAUUUUCUACCGUGUUCUAACAUGUAAAAGUCAGCAGAAGUGCUAAUUUUGUUACCUGCUUUUCCUCAUAACCUGCUUUCCAGUAUGUAGAAAGCAGGCAGGGGAGGAACUCAAAAUGAUCUCAGCUCUUUCUUUCAAAAUAUUCCAGGUAGCCAGUCAUCUCCCACUCCUGAAGUGGGAUUCCUAUGUUGUCUUCCAUGCUCUUCUCCUGGCUUACUUCAGGAAGAUAAAGGCUUAAUUUCAAACACGGGCUCUGCAAUCUCUCUCUCCUGUGCUUCUUAAUCUGUCUGAAAUCCGAAGGUAGGAACUGAUGGGAAGUGAGGAUGCUAUUUUUGAGGUCACAUCGAGAGAAAUUUCUAUACUAACUAAAUUAAUCAAAACCCAGCAGCUAUCAAAAGAAUCCAGAUGAAGUGUGGAUAUUCACAUUGUGGAUAGGGUCUGAAGACUACAGAGAUGAUAAUCUACUCUCUUGCACUGUCAGUAUGCUCAUUCUUAAGAAGCCAUCCAACAGAAGAAAAAAAAUCCAAGUCCUAGGAAAGUGACGGGAGCAAAGGCAGGUCUGGGCUCAAACACGACUUAAAGACUUGAAGGUGGGGUGCACACUACAGAAUCACAGUGAACAUCCACAUUUAAAGAAUAGAAGAAAAAGCCUUCUUCCUCAGGAAGUGGGGAAGGGGACCUAAAUUCUGCUUUGGAUAUAUCCAUUAUCUUAGCAGGAGAAACAAACAAACAAAAAAGAAACAGUGCUCUAUGUAAAACUUCUUCUAGUUACAAGAAGUAUACAUCAGUAUGUAGCAAUUUCAUGUAUUAUGUGUCUAAAGGUACUGUUAGAUAUCUAACAUUUAUCAGUCACUUCCCUGGACUACAGAGUUUCAAAAACCAAGCUGUGCAUCUGCUGCAUAAGACACCCAGGCACUUUUCAACUUUAGUGUUGACAACUAAUAAAGCUUGAAGACCAUUAAAUUAAGAUUUUGCUAAUCUCCACUUGCAAAAGACAGAAGAAAACCUAAACCAAAGCCAAACCAAACAAAAAAAACCAACCAACCAACCAACAAAACCUCUCCAAAACAAAUUACUUUUCUUAUACUGUCUCCUUAGUAAGAUCAGCAUAUUAAGCUGGAAUACAAAGAGAUACAGUAGAUUCUCGGCUGUUAAGAUUCCGGAUUGGUGCACUUCGGUGUUCCUGGAGGACUUCAGGCUUCACUGCACAAUGCAGCAUUCAAAAUUCAAUAGGAAGAUGAAUUGGAAUAACCGUUCUUGUCUGUGAUAGGAAAAUAGCGACAUCAGCAAAAUGGUUGAUUACACUGAAACUGGGACAAAAAAAUGCUUUAAACAAAUGUUGGCCAGCACAUAGGGCAGCUGGUUAAAACCAAUACUAUAAUCAUAUGUGAGCAACACAAGGUAGUUUUAUACCUUCUUUUAGCCAGAAUUGAGUGCGUAGCACUUACACCAUUCUUUAGAUCUAUGUGGAGAGAACUGUCUCAACGGUUUCUUGUGUGAAAGUUGGGAUAAGGCUUCCAGUUGCAUACGAAAAAGCUGUACCUUUGACCAUUUGUGAGAGUGUUCACUGAUCAUGUGUUGAUAUCCAAAUUUGUAAGUAAAAGAUACAGGAAAAAUGAAUAAAUCAAAAGCCAUAGACAUAGAACCAAAGAUUCCAAACAUAAUAUUUUGCAUUGCUAAAAUGAAUAAUUUAAUGCCAUGUAAGACAAAUUGAGCUCAGGCUAUAUAUUCAAUGUUAAGCUAAGAUGCUACCACAUUUCUUAGUUUCACUUUCGAGGAACAUCAUAGAGAAACAACUGCAAUUUCGGUCUUCUGGACUAAACCUUCCUCAUAUCCAACACAAAACCCAGUGCUUUUUAUUCCAUGGAAUGAUGACAAUAUUAAUUUGGGCAAAAGGAGAUUAUAUAAUAUACCUUUAUAUAGAAUAGUCUACGUUACAAUCAAACGUUAAGUUUAACAGUAUUUGCUAUUCAAUUGACAAGCUUCUCUUGUAUACAAAGAGAAAGAAAAUACCCUGGCUUCUACUGAGAUAAUUUGUAAAUGGAAGGCUGGUAAGUUUAAACAAGAUAGUGAAUAUAAAAUUACCAUCAAAGAUAAACCAUAAUCUUCAAAGUUGCAGCUGAUUUCAAACAUUCCUUUUGAUAGAUUCCUAGUACAGCAUUUUUUUUGGAAGUAUGAACACUCCAAAUCUCCUCUAUUUAUAGGGAAGUUUGUAACAGGUUCAAUUGGAGACAUCAAAAACAUUUUAAAUAGACAUCACAAGAUGCAUCUGUAGUUUAAAGGUCAAAUUUAUUAGGAGAUUAAGAGAUGUAUUAUACAUGGACUAUAAAUAUAGCACAGCUGACUUUAUUCACAGUCAGACAGCCAAUGUCAACCUAUUUUGUAGACACUCUUGUUCUCUUGUUCCAAGAAAAGUUUGCACCAUACGACUUGGAUUUAGGUUUUGGAAUCUUCUUCUCUUCAACAUCAUAGCUCCAGCCUGGAGGUUACAGGGGAAAUGGUGGGGGGAGAAAAGAAACAAAGAGAAUUCUAAAUAUUCUCAGCAUAAAAUAGAGAGCAAAUGCAACUUAAACCUUUUAACUUUAAUGUCUUUUUCUCCACGUAGGCAUCCACUAGUUUAUUCCUUUGUAGUUAGCAGCAGAGAAUACUAAAAUGCCACAGAUGUGACAAAUGCCUGUUCUCUCAGUUGAUAAUCCCUAACUAUAUUAUGUACCUACAUUUUCUUUAUUCCUGCAAACUUGACAGUCAUCAGUGAAAAAGCUCAACAGGGAAUACUGACUGUCCUGCAAGUUCAUGGCUCCACAACUCAUCAGCAUCACAGAAGCAGAAAGGCUCUGUGUAUGCCAGCACAGGAAAUGAAAGUAAAGAUAAAAUAAGGGAAACAUGGGGAAAAAACAACAUACAGAAGAUCAAUGCUAAAGCUUGGGAAAGAAUGGAGACCAUGGAAAGGUACAGAAAAAAGAAAGGUUAGGAGGGCCAAAGAAAGGAAUAGCAAAGAAAAAACUUAGAUUCUAAUUCUAAAAAUUUAGAAAGUAGUUUAAUACUUAACGUUUUCAUAAGAACAUAAAAAAAUAAGAGUAAAAGAAAAGAGAAUGAAGUGAUAGAAGACAAGUAAAUUAUGUGAUAGUUAAGCAAGAGAAAUGCUAAAAAUUGUCAGAAAAGAGGAGGUGGAGACAUUAGUGUUUAUGUAAAUCAAAAUGCAAAUUGGUUGCAGCCUCCAGGUGUCUGGAAAGUUGCCAGGGCAGCACUCAGUAUGCCAAAGUUUUGUCUCUUUAGCUGCAACAUUUCACUCAAAGUUGAGGUACUUGAGUUGAAGCUAGAAGUGGUUAAGUAUGAAAUUUUAACAGAUACUAAUAAGAUGACACUUUUUUUUCUUAGUUUUAAAACAAAAACUUCGUAAGUCUUUAAAGGUUUAAUAUAUAUCUAAAUUUCUACACUUAAGAUGUUCACAGAAAACACUCAAGAUACAUCUAUGUAUCAAAACAAGUUUUGUAAAAUACACAAGUUUUCACGUCACUGUGACUCAAUUUUGUGUAUUCACAAAUGUCACACAAACAUUUCCUUCAUGUUUAUUAGGCUGAACCAAUAUUAAUUUCCAAGUUAACUAUUCUCCACAAGAAAUGCUAGAAUAGAGGUUUUAAAAACAUUAUUUCCAUCUGUGAGGGCACCAGCUUUUGCUUACUGUUCUGAUUAAAAACACAAGCUUGAGUAAACAACCAGAACUAGAUCCAGACUUCGGUAUCGCAACAUUCAGCAUUGUAACACCUAACUUUGAAGCACUUGGCUGCUGGGAUGGAAUCUACAGGCCCAAGUUUUGUGUUAUUUUUUUACACAUUAGACAGAGUGGAGCUGAGCACCUCCAAAAGAGAUUCACAACUGCCAAUACACUGACUUGGCCUGCCAUAGCCAUCCAAAAUCAAAAAAGUUAGUUAUAUCCAACUUUGGAUUGUAAGAGGCCACUAUAUGUGAUAAAGUUUCACACUCUGGAACAGUCCCCUUGAGUUAGGCACCUUCAGUUGUUCAUGAUAGAGAGCAGAGGUCACCUUGUUACUCAAGAUACAUGUUUUUAAACAACUAUCUCAGUGAUGUCAGACAGGAUUAAAAAAAAAAAAAUUAGGUUGACAGGUUAAACUUCUAAUUUCAUCCUGUUACAAGUGCCUCCUCCUUACCUCGACUUCAGACCAUCCUCAGCUGUCAUAUUUUACACAAAUUACUCCCGUUACUGUAUUCAGUGCUGUUAUUCCUACACUAGAAAACAUCAGAUGGGGCAGGACGAAAGACAGCUUGCCUGAGGUUCCUGAAGUUCUAAGAUGAGAAACAACUCUAAAGUCUCCCAAUCCUAUCAAAAUACCUGCAAUAUCUAGGUUUUACAGAGAUUAAACUUGAGGUUUUUAAGGAAUCUUGUAAUGGGUUGGACAGAGAGGUAAAUAUUUGUGUUCCUAGACUUAGACAUGUUUCAGUAACACCUCAGUUCAGAAAAGUAGUUCCAUUGUAAAUGAGUGCCUAAGUUUCUCAUUUCUUUCUAAACACAGAACUCAAUAUUGUAAAAUUUAUAAUUCCAGGUACAUCUGAUACAGAGGCUAUUACUACAGUAAAUACUAUGCACAUAUCAUGUGUAUAAAACUGAACCACCUUAAAUAAAAACGGAGUGAGAAUUUAGGCAAGCCAGUAUGUGUAGAAAAGUUUGGUACAUCUCAUUUAUGGUAAAAUUAAGGGUGCAAGCUAAGGAAUACUAAAGUAAUAAUAUUAAUACUAAGUCACAGCCUUAGUUUAGUUGGUAGAGUUUCUUUGUAGUUUUCCUGCAAAACAGAGAUUAAUUACUAGUUCAGUGAAGGCAUAAACUUCCUACCCCUAACGAUUCAAGUAUUUUACUUGAAUCUGCAUUUUGAAAAGACAAAAUACAACACAUUUGAGAAGACAAUAUAAGUAGCUCAUAAUUAUAGUGAUUUGUAGGCCAGGAUUAAGUUUUUUUUCUCUUAUAGGCUGAAUUUCACAAGAAAUAGAAAUAGCAUGAACAAUACAGAAGCAUAAAGCAACACCAGAUUCUCCUAAACUUCCUGUUUGUUCACAGAACAUUACAAAAUACUAUUAACAUUGCACAUCUAACAACUCUGCACAAUUUGGUCUGAUCAAGAACUUUACUCUCUAUUUACCCCAGACCAAAUCAUGUUGAAAGCUGUAAACCACAGGGAAGACUUCUGAAUAAGCUUACACUCCAUGUGCAUUAUUCCUGCUUUAACUCACUGCAAUUAAUCUUCUUCACAUCCAUGAGCACUAAGCAUCAAGCCUAGCUCUUUAAGAAAAAUUAAACUGAUUUUAAAAAAAGUCGCAAAAAGAAAAUCAUAUCGACACAUAAAAGGACUGCUGAAUAUUCAAAAAACUGAGAUUAUGAGUACUGCUUGUGGUACCACAAUUCUGUGAGAAAAUACAAGCCUAGAUAACCUUGGAAGUUUAUAGAUAUAGUCUUUCUGAUACAUCAUUACCAUUAAAAUAUUAAGCAAUGAUACUGGGUUUUCUACCGUCUCUGUUCUCAAAUAUGAACAAACAUCACAUGUAAGUGUUUAGGCUCCAGUAUUGUACUUGGGAAGAGCUGAAAUAACUUCCUCAGUCUAUGACUUCUCUUUGGGUCUGUGGCAGGGAAGGUGCUGAUCUCCUCUCUUUGAUGACCAGCGACAGGACACGAGAAAAUGGAAUGAAGCUGGAUCAGGGGAAGUUCAGGUUGGACAUUUGGAAGAGGUUCUUCACUGACAGAGUGGUCAGUCACUGGGACAAGCUCCCAGGGAAGCAGUCAUGGCACAAAACUUGUCCGAGUUCAAGGAGUAUCUGGAUGAUGCUCUUGGUCAUAUGGUUUAGUUUUAGGUGGUUCUGUGAGAAGCAGGGAGCUGGACUUGAUAUUUAUGGGUACCUUACAACUCAAAAUAUUCUGUGAUUCUACAAUAAAUCCAUUCUGCAACAUGGCCAAAACUAAAGUCCAACAUGCUUACUUCGUAGUGACUUAAUUUUUCUGAUUAUCAAACAUUUACAAGGAUUCUGAUUGUCUUUCCGCAACUAGAAUUCAGAUGCUCGUGUCAAGCCUUCAGGCAAAAAUCCCAUUGCCAUGCUGCUCAGAACCGCAGCCUGGGAUACUCUUAAAGACAAGGUAUUAAUUCUCCUCCAAGACCUGAGCAAGACUCAGUUCUCACUCAAAACACAGAUAUUUGCAAAAGCAUUGCAACAGUAAUGUUAAGAGGCGGAAACACUUUUCCAAAAAGUGGAAGGUCUAAAUUCAAUGCUUUCAGCACACUCAGAAAAAUCCCCUCCCUUCCCCCAUUUUCUUCCUCCUCAAGUACAGCACUAGAGGUCUACCAUUUUUGUGAAGCAGAGGCAAGAGACUUUAUCCCGUACUUCUUCUGUUGUUAAUGCUUUGAGAUCAAGAUUGCCUACAGAAACUGAAUCCCUCAUAGCUAAUAGGUAUAAUACAUACCAUUUUUUUCAGCAAAGGCAAUGGCAUCUUCUUUAGUAGAGAAAGUAAGAACCAUGUUGGAUAAAGGAUCAGCUCUGUAAGAAAUCAAAUGACAAACAGAAAAUUGUUAUAUCUGAUCUCAAGUUCUAUAUUACACAACUUUUUGUAGUACGCCACCUCGCAAGCCAUUCAAAACCCCUUUAUUUUUAUUUAUUUCCAUGAUUAACACUUUCAGAAGAGUAUAGUUCCACUCUCGCAAGCCUGUUAAACUUCCCUCCCAAUUCCUUGCAGAAAUUGAUGUUUUAAGUUUUUUUGACAAACACAUCUAACCACCUGCUGAUGUUAUAAUAAGCGCUCUGAAACAAUCUUUUUCAUUUUUAGAUCUCUGUAGUCCAUCUUUUUUGAAAGAUUAGGAGGGUUAAGGCAAUUUUAAACAUUUUAAGGAGACAAGAAAUCUGCAGAGCACUAGGGGAAAAAUAAUCUUAUACAGAAAAAAGCAGAAUAUCAAACUGAACAAAGAAGGAAUUAAUCAGAGACUGAAAGUACAUAAAAAGCCCUCAAGAGUUCAGCUUUGGCUGAAGUUACAACAAGCAGAUUGCAGGCCAUUACUGAAAAGAAAGAUCAGAAAUGCAAACUGCUAGCUAACUAAAUACAAAGUGUCUAGUUUUAGAUGAUCAGCUAUUCCUUAACGGCAUUUCUAAAAGGAUUCAAACAGCAAAAAUCUUUUUGAAACAAAUUAAAAUCUCAGUUAAAAAAACAAACUACCUUAUUUGUUGCUAUAAAACCUCAAUUUAAGAACAAUGACAAUGAAAAAAACAGCGCUUUAAAAAUCAGUCCACAAAGCUUUUAGAGAAAUAAGAUAGUGGCAGUAGAAACACUAUGAUUAGUCAAUGCUUCCCUGAGACAACACUGCACAGGAGCCUGGGAGACAACUGGGAAGAAAAAACCAAAUUGCAACAAAUGAUUGAAGAAGCUGCUUCUCAAUCAUUCUCUCUUCAAAGCUAGAGGAGUAAGUGAAGAGAAAAAGCAACUAAAGACGCACUGAACUCUCUACAAUAAAGGGCGAAGCCUGUGACUGGUGGAGGGGGAGGGGAAGAGGGGGAAUCUAGCUUCCAGCAAAGACAAAAAUGUAAUUUUAUCUGAUGUACUCUUGGAAAAUGGAGUUCACUAUAUAUCUGAUAUAAAAACCAGGAUUUACAGCAGGAAUUACACUUUCACAAGCCACUAAGAUGGGCUCUCUUAAAGACAUUUAAAGAUUUCUCUUAUAAAGGUAGUAUGGAAAAUUAGGAACUAAGAAUUAGUCCAUGGCGUGAUCAGUGGAGAAUCAAGUGACCCACAUAUACCACAAUAUUGCAACAGCUUUUGCUUAUCAUUCUUCUCUUCCAUGACUAGAGCUGGAAAAAUCUCAACGCUACCAAGUGGAAAACAAAGAAGUUUAAGUCUGAAAUGUUGCGAUGGGCCACUCCCUGCUCAGUCCUGCAAGUUUGGCAAAAACUUCACAGGACAGAGGCAUCCUGGAAAUGAGGAUUGUGCAGAAAAGACUUGUUCUGUUGUCAUGUGGAAUAAUCUUUCAUACAAUUUAAAUACAGCUUUUUUAUUUCUUUCCAUAAA
Long non-coding RNA from Columba livia (rock pigeon), 8738 nucleotides. RefSeq lists it as uncharacterized. Lineage: Eukaryota; Metazoa; Chordata; Aves; Columbiformes; Columbidae. The record is from RefSeq and is a predicted model, not a curated record. The transcript is spliced from 4 exons.